UGGGAACGUACCCUUUGGUUCGGAACAACCCAGGGAAACUUGGGCUAAUACCGGAUACGUCCGUAAGGAGAAAGAUUUAUCGCCAAAGGAUCGGCCCGCGCCUGAUUAGCUUGUUGGUGAGGUAACGGCUCACCAAGGCGACGAUCAGUGGCUGGCCUGAGAGGAUGAUCAGCCACAUUGGGACUGAGACACGGCCCAAACUCCUACGGGAGGCAG
Molecule: ribosomal RNA, 216 nt
Filed under: uncultured bacterium
Lineage: Bacteria
Description: partial 16S ribosomal RNA
Rfam family: Bacterial small subunit ribosomal RNA
Source: RNAcentral